GACGAACGCUGGCGGCGUGCUUAACACAUGCAAGUCGAACGAUGAAGCUGGUGCUUGCACUGGUGGAUUAGUGGCGAACGGGUGAGUAACACGUGAGUAACCUGCCCCUGACUCUGGGAUAACUGCUGGAAACGGUAGCUGAUACUGGAUAUGAACCGUACGGGCAUCUGUUGCGGUUGGAAAGAUUUUUCGGUUGGGGAUGGGCUCGCGGCCUAUCUGUUUGUUGGUGGGGUAGUGGCCUACCAAGACGACGACGGGUAGCCGGCCUGAGAGGGUGACCGGCCACAUUGGGACUGAGACACGGCCCAGACUCCUACGGGAGGCAGCAGUGGGGAAUAUUGCACAAUGGGGGAAACCCUGAUGCAGCAACGCCGCGUGAGGGAUGACGGCCUUCGGGUUGUAAACCUCUUUUGGCAGGGAAGAAGCGAGAGUGACGGUACCUGCAGAAAAAGCGCCGGCUAACUACGUGCCAGCAGCCGCGGUAAUACGUAGGGCGCGAGCGUUGUCCGGAAUCAUUGGGCGUAAAGAGCUCGUAGGCGGUUUGUCGCGUCUGCUGUGAAAGCCUGGGGCUCAACUCCGGGAUUGCAGUGGGUACGGGCAGACUAGAGUGCGGUAGGGGAGACUGGAAUUCCUGGUGUAGCGGUGGAAUGCGCAGAUAUCA
RNAcentral lists this ribosomal RNA (661 nucleotides) under uncultured Micrococcineae bacterium. RNAcentral describes it as "bacterial SSU rRNA". It matches the Rfam family "Bacterial small subunit ribosomal RNA", at positions 28 to 699 of the family's 1533-position model. Lineage: Bacteria; Bacillati; Actinomycetota; Actinomycetes; Micrococcales. The record is from RNAcentral.